This 481-nucleotide ribosomal RNA is filed under the name uncultured bacterium. RNAcentral describes it as "bacterial SSU rRNA". It matches the Rfam family "Bacterial small subunit ribosomal RNA", at positions 34 to 518 of the family's 1533-position model. The record is from RNAcentral.
CGCUGGCGGCGUGCCUAACACAUGCAAGUCGAACGGAGAGCAUAUGAAGUAUUCGGUACGGAAUGCGUUCUAGUGGCGAACGGGUGAGUAACACGUGGGCAACCUGCCCCAGACUGGGGGAUAACAUUGUGAAAACAGUGCUAAUACCGCAUGACAGGGUUCCGGGCAUCCGGGACUCUUGAAAGGAGAAAUCCGGUCAGGGAUGGGCCCGCGUCCAAUUAGCUAGUUGGUGGGGUAACGGCCCACCAAGGCGACGAUUGGUAGCCGAACUGAGAGGUUGAUCGGCCACAUUGGGACUGAGACACGGCCCAGACUCCUACGGGAGGCAGCAGUGGGGAAUAUUGGGCAAUGGGCGAAAGCCUGACCCAGCGACGCCGCGUGAAGGAUGAAGGUCUUCGGAUUGUAAACUUCUUUGAUCAGGGAAGAAAGAAAUGACGGUACCUGAAAAACAAGCCACGGCUAACUACGUGCCAGCAGCUGC